This 5425-nucleotide long non-coding RNA is filed under the name Homo sapiens (human). RNAcentral's name for it is "HSALNT0171615". Lineage: Eukaryota; Metazoa; Chordata; Mammalia; Primates; Hominidae. The record is from RNAcentral.
GUAUGCUUUCUUUUGUUUCACUCCAUCCCGGAGUGCACUCUAUUAUUUUGAUGGUGAGAUAGCAGCCAACAACCCCACAUUUGCAUCCUCACAGCUUCAAGUCCAGUGGAAAGAUGUGACUUUUCCGGAUAGUUCCAACAAAAUUCCUGGGCCUAAAUUGGGUCACACACUCACCCCGAACCAAUCCCUGAAUGUGAUGAUUGGGCUUAAGCCUGGGGAGAUGCAAAGACAUUCCUGGAGCUGAGGAUGUGGAUGCCUCUACCCAAACCACAUGGUUAGAGGGGGAAGAGGGGACCGAGCUGAAGAAGCCCCCGUCUUCCAGCGCAUGUUAUUCCCAUGACAGAUGCUAAAAGUUCAAGGGGAGAGCUACAAGAAGUGCGUUUUCCUGUGGCUACUUUCAUGUCUGGAUGCAAUGCCUAGACCUGCAUCCAUCUUGCGACCAACCUGAAGAUGAACAGAAAGGAAGGAAGGAUGGCCCAAUAGCCUGGGAAGAACUGGUGUUCCUGAUACCAUCAUUAACCACAGAAUCUACAAUCCCGGAACCCCCCAUCCUUAACCAUGGAAUCUACAAUCCUAUCUCUAGACCCUUUGUCCAGAUGCUACAGUUUCUUUGUUCAAUCUAGUUUGUGUCAGGAUUUCUGUUCAUUACAUCAAAAGUAUUCUAAUACUUGUAGCAAAGCAACUGGAGAAGUUUUCACUUUGUCUUUAACCAAAGAAGACUUCCAGGAAACAUCUCCUCAGUGGGUUUCUCCCUCACCACUGGAUUUUUAUCUCUGUACUAGUGCUUUGAUUUGUUUUAGGAGUCUCACCUCUCCACCUGUCAUAUUUCCCUGGCAGGCUCAUUUCUGCUAAUGCCCACAAUAUGUGUAUCAAUGAGCUUUCAACGUUAGGUACACAGCUCUUCAGGCAUGUAUAGCACAUUAAUCUGUCUGCUUCUAAGUGGUCUGUUGACAUGUUUGGGUGCCAGUUAUAUCUACAAGGCUGUGAUCAUUGUCCUGGGUUAUUCUGUUUGUUCUCUCUGCAGGAUGCAUUAGGACACCCAAGGCCAUGGCCAUCACUUACAUCUAGGAUUCAAUCUUAUCUCCUGUGAAUCACUGGAAACCUCCUGUCCUGGAACCCUUUUUUUCCACAUCCCACUGGAUGUCAUUCAUAGCAACUGGUCUUGUGGGUUGUCUAUUUUAUUGUGUUGUCUUACUCUUCCUCCUGGUAUCAGUUUUUAAAUCCUCUUGAUGAGAUCAGCUGAUCAGUCGCUAAGCAACAUAGUCCCCCAUGUCUUUGUAAGAUUCUCUGCACUCAUGGCUAGAAUGAUUUAUUCUGGUAUCUUAAGCUGUGUUUCAGAACCUCAUUCUAAAUAUCAACCUAUUCUUGUAAGUCCACUACUGAUCAUCUUUAGAUAUUCUUCAGUCUUCCAGAGUUCCAAAGGGCAGUAGGAAGAAGCAAUGAAAAUACCACCUGUAUUCUCACAUCUUUCAUUGUUCCACUCAAAAAAUACCACCAUGUUCACUUCUGGUGGAACGUUUAUGUCCAUGAGAAGCAGUGGCUUUGAAGAGUUUUGGCAGACUAUGGCGCCUUACUCAACAUUGGGAAGGUAUCUUGCCAUCAGACCUUUUGGGUCUCCAUGAAACUUCUUAUACCCCCUCUGGGAAAAGUCACUAACUGUGAUCUUACUGAGCUUCUAAACACAGCAUUUUUUUUACACUUAAGUGAGCGGGGGUCCUCCUCAUUUGUGCUUCUCUUCUUGUAAGGGUGACUUCCUCCCAGUAGGAUGAAUCUCAUGCCUAUUUGUGUUAUUUUGCUAAUUCCAGCUUCUUUUCUACUCAGGGGGGUUCCAACUCUUUUAAGGUCUCAUCUUCAGCACUUCUAAACUGUGGGAAACUAUGUGAAAACAAAUGGAGUGGCCAAACACACCAUUCAUCACUGUGCUUCUGGACAGCUGCAAGUCCAUACGUGUUCUGAUGAAGUCUGGCUCUGUUGCCCAGGCUGGAGUGCAAUGGCACAGUCUCGGCUCACUGCAACCUCUGCCUCCUGGGUUCAUGCAAUUCUCCUGCCUCAGCUUCCCAAGUAGCUGGGAUUACAGACAUGCACCACCAUGCCCAGCUAAUUUUUGUAUUUUUAGUACAAACAGGGUUUCACUAUGUUAGUCGGGCUGAUCUUGAACUCCUGACCUCAAGUGAUCCACUCCCCGCAGCCUCCCAAAGUGCUGGGAUUACAGGCGUGAGCCACUGCGCCCGGCCUUUCAGCUGAUUUUCUAAUCAAGAAGUUAUAUCAGUCUUUGUCUGCAGUUGCUCAAAGACUCUCUUUUAAAGUGCAGAGACUAUCCACCUCAGCUAUAGCACAGGGCUCAGCACUGUAUUUCCAGUUAUGGAAUACAGUUAUUUCAUAUAUGUUAUAUUAUUCUUAAUUCUGUCCCUAGUUCCUGCUACUGAGGAAGUCCAUACUCAGCAGGACAGUCUCCUGGUCUGCCAUGAAUUCAAACACAAUCUGUAAAGACAGUGAAGGAAGCUACAUCUGUGCAUGGGGGCUUUAGAGAAUUAUUGGCUUGAAGCAAUAAGAGGAACAUCUGGGCUGAGUAGUCCUCGAAGACUCUCAUGUGAUUCAAAAGUCCUUUUCUUCCUUAUUAUUUCCUAUCUUGCUCUCAAGCAUCUCCUCUGGCAGCAGCAACUGGAACUAAAAGUGAUUUCUCUAUAACAGCGAGCAAGUUUCUCAUGGCCUUUGCUAUUAACUCUUUCAUGCCUGCUGACCUGCAAAAGAAUCAGGAGGGCUGGUGCUGGAGCAGAUGGCGCACUGUGAGUGAUGGUUUAGAUUCUGCCUGGACUCAAACCAUUUGGUUGAUGGCGGGAACCUUGAUUUUCCCCCUUCUUAUCCUGAGAGUGUAGGGUUUCUCUGAAUUAUUAUUUCUUUCUUUGCAAGGAUCCCUGGAUCCUCAUUCCUGAUAUAAGACUAGUUCUAGAUAAUUCAAUACAAGAAAGAAGAUUUGCUUGGGAAGGUAGAUGGGGCAAAGCAUUACCUUGUGUAAAACUGCUGCUAAAAUAUAUUCCUAGUGAGAAAGGUCAACUUGUGGGCUAAAGUCCUUGUCACCUCCUGAUCAGUUUUCACUUAGGGCACAGCAGUCUGCCAUUCACCAUUGGGAUCUCUGUGUGUUUCUUCUCUCUUAUGAAAGGACAUAUUGAGCGCUCUAGGACUUGGCUGCCUACAUCAAGUAGAGGGGGACCCUCAUGAUUCACUAAGGGGCCUCAGUUCUGAAUAUUUCUCAUUAUUCAAAAAUGCAAAGCCAUUGUCAUUACGUGGCAGUUUAUUGGAACCAAGGGAGGAAUUGGUCCCUUUUCAUGUUCUUCUCCUAAAUAGAGAAAAGGUAAUUAAAACUUGGAGCUUAAUAAGGGCCAUCUCUAUUUGAACAGCCUAAUACAAAUCCAUUCUCAAUACCUUUUUACACCUUGUCUGAACUGACUUCUACUGUGUACUCCACUGCAUGGGAAUUCUGGAACUUUAGAACGAAGGGAACUCAAUUCAUUCUAUAUAUAUCUCAUUCAUUCAUUUUUUUUUCAUUUGUUCACCAAAUGCUAACUCAAUACCUACGUAACAGAGAUAAUGUUCUUAUUGUCUGUAAAUCAGAAAAUGCAUGCAUUGAAUAAACGCCAUAUAUUCUUGGAAGCUGAGGGCUGAUAACUCAAGGUAAAUGAUCAGCUAGUCUCCUAUGAAAUAAGUAUCUUAUUUCAUGUUACAUGUAGAAAUGACCAUGCAACUUUAUCUUAAAGCCAGGCCUUAUUGAGAAAAAGGGGAUCCAAAUUCCAAAUGUUUCCUUACAUGCUGAGAGGAAACCUUGGAGGUCUGAGCGUGAGUCAUAGGUAGAGGGAAAUCAUGCUAAGAUAUAUAUUGUUUCCACCAGACAGGUAGAGGAAGCAGAGACCCUUUGGCAGAAGAGAUACAGAGAAGAGAGGAGGAGAGGUUCUGGCUUUACCGUUCAGGCUUGAAACCCCAAGUUUAGAUGGAUUGAGGGGGAAGCUUAAGGCAAACAUGACCCCUGGGCCAACACAGGCUAGAGGAACAAUGUAGAAAUGACCAUGUAACUUUAUAGGCAUGAAGAAGAUGCCUGUGAUGGCACUGAGUCUCCUGUGGCUCCCUUGUGUGCCCAAAUGCCUGAAGGAUGUGAGAGUAUUGGUUGUUAGAAUUUCAGGGAAUUCCACCAAGUGGGGAAUGACUCUGUAUUAAGGGCUGCAAAGAAAAGCUCCCAGGCCAAGCAUUGAGUGGGAGGUGCUACCUGCCCUCAGGGAUCCACAGGGACUUCAACAGCUGAUGUGGGGUCUCAUCAGCCUCAAGGUGGCCAAGUUUCUAUGCUGAGACUAUAGCCCACAGUUACACCAGCCAUGAUCCUCAGCAGCAGAGGUAGUGAUGAUGAAGUCUGAUGCCCAAAGACAAGCAGAACAAUAUGCACAGUUCCAGCCAAUGCCACGAGGUAGCCUUUGUACUUCCCUAUACCUAGCUGGGAGGGAGGAAGGAAGGAGAGAGGAGACUCCUAGGAAGAGGAGAAAAUAAUUAUCCCAAAGAGACUGACAUAACCUGGAAAAGACCGAGAACUACUAAUUAGCAAGAUAAAGUUCAUUUACCUCUUCCUGUUUCUUACCAAGAUGGUAUGUAUCCUUUCAGAUAAUAAAUAAAUUUAUGUUUUCUUGCCCUAUUUUAAUGUGAUUUAAAUGUUUCUUGUUUUUUCUGUUUUCAUUCAUAACAAAAAUUUUGUUCUCAGAGACACUGAGACAUGAGACACGAUGCUGGACUAUAUUGGGGGGGAGCACCUCAUCAUAUGGGCAAGAUAUUGCAGCAGCAUGUAGCCCUCCACGUCCUGACUGCUCACUUCUCUUUCGCCAUCCCCUAACACACGUAUUAGGCUUUUGCUAUGUUCAUUUAUCUAGCCCAUAAGCCACUCCUUCAGAGGGCAAUGCAUGGAAUUGGCAGCCUUGGUUCCCCACCAACUGACAGGGGUCUGGAAUUCAGGUGUUUCCAAAGACCUGCAGUCUUGGGGGCCUUAAUGCUUGCUGAGUAGCAGCACUUUCUAGGACUUUCCCUAUUGUACGUUUCAGUCCAUGCUUUUCUUUUUGUCUUGUCUCAGUGUUCUUCCCUGCUAGUCUGGUUCUCAACAAGACCCAAGCCCUGCAACACACCCAAAUCCCCUUGAUGGGAACCUGAUUUCCUACGUGGCUUUUCCCAGUCACCCCAUGCUCUCCCCACUCCCAUCUUUCCUGGUGAAUUGCUCCUUUCCUAAAUCUGUUGUGAAUAACAAUUUGGCCACAGUGCUAAAGCCUCUCACUCCUCACUUUAAAUUCCUUUGGGAAACAGUCAUUCAUGUUCAUUUUAGACAAUUUCCCUGUCCUGUGCGGACUCUUCUCAAGAAGUCUACUCCCAAAACUCCUGCUGAGGUAGGUCCAGGUCA